UCUCUGGGCAGAAGUGUUUCCUAAAUGGGCCAUGGAAGGAAGAUCUGUGCCUCCUCCGCUUUAGUGCCUUCCUUGACCCCGCCUUCUCAGCACUGUACUUCUUACAGUCUGCUUUGUGGUGUGUACGUGAGGGGACAGGGAGGGGGCAUCACAUUGGCUAAAUGUCAAAUCGAAUUCUGUGCCCCUGUUGGUGUCUGCAGAAAUUUUGCUUGGGCGGGCUCCACUCUGUGGAGGUUCUUCUGUCAUUUUUAAGCGGAGAACAGCAAAGAUGCAAAUCGCCCAGACUGCUCCAGGAGACAAAGCGACAAUUCAGAUGAGAAAACAGAAUCUCAGAGAAGGUAACCCGUGAUCUAUGUGGUGACAAGACUGAGGCAGAUGGGCACCUUUGAACACCUGCCAGGGGAAAGCAGUCGAGGAGGGGGAAUGUCAAUCAGAAUCUGGAACUUGCGAUUCUUCAGGGCGACAGAACCAAAUCUUGGGAAGAAGGACAUGCCUCAUGAUGGAAUCUGAUCUCUAGCAUGUUCUACUUUACUGAAGAAAACAUACUGCUAAUAAUUUAACUGCACUUCGAUUAUCAGGAUAAGUUGUGCAAUAAAAUAUGCAGAUAGAAUGGAAACUUCGUAAGUGACAAAUGAUAAAUGAUAUAAAGCAGUGGAUAAUUUUACUUAGCUUCGAUUUUAAUGUUUGUCAAAUGAAUGAAGCAAUGUAUUUAUAUGCAGAAAGCCACAUUAUCAUAAAUAUAUUUGCUAAAACAGGAAGAAUAAAUUGCGGUUAAAUUUAGUAACAUCUGAUGUUAUGUGUGAAUGUUUAUUUGUGAUUAAAUGUGAACAAUUGCUCCUUUAAGGUAAAGGUCUGCGUAUAUGUGAUUAAUCAAAUUGAAAUGAAAGUACAGACAGCUCAUGCCAUGCCUAGUUAUCAGAAUGAUUGAUUUUAGUCUGUGCUUCUAGGUGAAAAAAUAUCUGUUAAUAACCCCAGCAGCCAAACCCCUGAUGUCCCUGAUAGCUCAAUGAUUUGUGCACAUUCUGCAUUAUUGGGCUCAUUUGCAGGUAUAGGGUCUACACAAUGAUCCAUUGGAUCACAAAAUUAUAACACGAGAAAAGUGACAUCCAGAUUUAUGCAAGAGUUAUGACUGCAAAGUGCAUUUCAUCAGUAAGAAGUUUAAAAUUGCUGCUGUUGUAGCUGUCACCGGCAUGUUAUUUUCUUUGGUUUGUGUGUAGGCAAGACUGUCAAGGUUUUAUCACACAAACUGGUGUUUUUGU
Long non-coding RNA from Marmota monax (woodchuck), 1259 nucleotides. RefSeq lists it as uncharacterized. The transcript has 4 exons. NCBI's taxonomy places the organism in Eukaryota, Metazoa, Chordata, Mammalia, Rodentia, Sciuridae. The record is from RefSeq and is a predicted model, not a curated record.